GGGGAUGUUUGGUUUCGACAGGGUCGUAUAUCAGGUAGGUGCGUGCCGAGGUGCCCGAGGCCUCGUAAAAACGGGCAACCAAGAACUGCGGAAUCUGAUUUCGCUUACGCUGCCUAAGUCACUGACCUCUAGGUAGCGCGUCUGUCCGGUCUUUCGCCUUUCGGGACCGGGGACAGGCGUCAUUCAGGAAGGACGCGGUGACCUAGUCCGCCGAAGCGCGGUCACCAAAGGCAGUUCGGCUCACUGCAACGGGAUCCCGUCGGUAGGAGCCCGCGGCAGCACAUAAAAUGCCGACUACGCACGUAGGAUGCUGCCGGUUCGCGGUUCUGGACGGGGGUUCGACUCCCCCCAUCUCCACCA
This 360-nucleotide transfer-messenger RNA is filed under the name Thermomicrobiales. RNAcentral describes it as "JACCXM01 sp013697005 Standard tmRNA". It matches the Rfam family "transfer-messenger RNA". From Rfam's summary of the family: Bacterial tmRNA, also known as 10Sa RNA or SsrA, is named for its dual tRNA and mRNA-like properties. Its role is to liberate the mRNA from a stalled ribosome. Lineage: Bacteria; Pseudomonadati; Thermomicrobiota; Thermomicrobia. RNAcentral also lists the same sequence under 2 other names. The record is from RNAcentral.